CUUGGUCAUUUAGAGGAAGUAAAAGUCGUAACAAGGUCUCCGUAGGUGAACCUGCGGAGGGAUCAUUACAAGAACGCCCGGGCUUCGGCCUGGUUAUUCAUAACCCUUUGUUGUCCGACUCUGUUGCCUCCGGGGCGACCCUGCCUUCGGGCGGGGGCUCCGGGUGGACACUUCAAACUCUUGCGUAACUUUGCAGUCUGAGUAAACUUAAUUAAUAAAUUAAAACUUUUAACAACGGAUCUCUUGGUUCUGGCAUCGAUGAAGAACGCAGCGAAAUGCGAUAAGUAAUGUGAAUUGCAGAAUUCAGUGAAUCAUCGAAUCUUUGAACGCACAUUGCGCCCCCUGGUAUUCCGGGGGGCAUGCCUGUUCGAGCGUCAUUUCACCACUCAAGCCUCGCUUGGUAUUGGGCAACGCGGUCCGCCGCGUGCCUCAAAUCGUCCGGCUGGGUCUUCUGUCCCCUAAGCGUUGUGGAAACUAUUCGCUAAAGGGUGUUCGGGAGGCUACGCCGUAAAACAACCCCACUUCUAAGGUUGACCUCGGAUCAGGUAGGGAUACCCGCUGAACUUAAGCAUAUCAAUAAGCGGAGGAAAAGAAACCAACAGGGAUUGCUCUAGUAACGGCGAGUGAAGCAGCAAUAGCUCAAAUUUGAAAUCUGGCGUCUUCGACGUCCGAGUUGUAAUUUGUAGAGGAUGCUUCUGAGUGGCCACCGACCUAAGUUCCUUGGAACAGGACGUCAUAGAGGGUGAGAAUCCCGUAUGCGGUCGGAAAGGCGCUCUAUACGUAGCUCCUUCGACGAGUCGAGUUGUUUGGGAAU
This 814-nucleotide small RNA is filed under the name uncultured Davidiella. RNAcentral's name for it is "eukaryotic LSU rRNA". The stretch from base 532 to 814 matches the Rfam family "Eukaryotic large subunit ribosomal RNA", at positions 1 to 281 of the family's 3401-position model. The record is from RNAcentral. Lineage: Eukaryota; Fungi; Ascomycota; Dothideomycetes; Cladosporiales; Cladosporiaceae.